CCUUCGAUACAUGAUGGACUAGCCGUUCGAUCUACAGAAUCAAGGAUGCGGUCCACAGGUGUGGUUCACAGGCGAGGUGGAGGUUUUGCAUGAUCAAACUACUGAAAAUCAAUUUGGACUUCGAUCCAAUAGCCAGCAUCAUUUUUGACUUUGAAUAAGAUUCCUAGGCAUGAUCCGACGGCCCAGAUUCCAUUCAUCGCGAGAUUCGACGGCUGUCAUCAUUCUCAAUUGGGUUAAGGAGUGAUUUUGCACCAUUUGAUGGCCAAAAUUCAAUCUGGAGCACAAUCAGAUGGCUGUGGUGGAAUCUAACCCUGAUAAGGAUUUAAACAUCAGAUUUUGGGU
Molecule: long non-coding RNA, 342 nt
Filed under: Elaeis guineensis (African oil palm)
Lineage: Eukaryota; Viridiplantae; Streptophyta; Magnoliopsida; Arecales; Arecaceae
Description: long non-coding RNA (EGUI_LNC046229)
Source: RNAcentral